GCUCAGUUGGUGAAAUUGGUAAACACUGUAGACUUAAAAUCUAUUCCCUUUUAGGGUUACCGGUUCAAGUCCGGUAUUGAGCA
Molecule: transfer RNA, 83 nt
Filed under: Stigeoclonium helveticum
Lineage: Eukaryota; Viridiplantae; Chlorophyta; Chlorophyceae; Chaetophorales; Chaetophoraceae
Description: tRNA-Leu
Rfam family: tRNA
About the family: Transfer RNA (tRNA) molecules are approximately 80 nucleotides in length. Their secondary structure includes four short double-helical elements and three loops (D, anti-codon, and T loops).
Source: RNAcentral